UACGGAAGGCAGCAGUGGGGAAUAUUGCACAAUGGGCGAAAGCCUGAUGCAGCUAUGCCGCGUGUAUGAAGAAGGCCUUAGGGUUGUAAAGUACUUUCAUCGGGGAGGAAAAAACAAAACUAAUAAUUUUAUUUCUUGACGUUACCCGAAAAAGAAGCACCGGCUAACUCCGUGCCAGCAGCCGCGGUAAUACGGAGGGUGCUAGCGUUAAUCAGAAUUACUGGGCGUAAAGAGCACGUAGGUGGUUUUUUUAAAGUCAGAUGUGAAAUCCCUGGGCUUUAACCUAGGAACUGCAUUUUGAAACUGAAAUACUAGAGUAUCGUAGAGGGAGGUAGAAUUCUAGGUGUAGCGGUGAAAUGCGUAGAUAUCUGGAGGAAUACCUGUGGCGAAAAGCGGCCUCCUAAAACGAAUAACUGACACUGAGGGUGCGAAAAGCGUGGGGAGCAAAACAGGAUUAGAUACC
RNAcentral lists this ribosomal RNA (463 nucleotides) under uncultured bacterium. RNAcentral's name for it is "bacterial SSU rRNA". It matches the Rfam family "Bacterial small subunit ribosomal RNA", at positions 340 to 786 of the family's 1533-position model. The record is from RNAcentral.